This 245-nucleotide long non-coding RNA is filed under the name Olea europaea (common olive). RNAcentral's name for it is "long non-coding RNA (OEUR_LNC010314)". The record is from RNAcentral. Lineage: Eukaryota; Viridiplantae; Streptophyta; Magnoliopsida; Lamiales; Oleaceae.
UCAAAUCACAUGGUACAUCGAUCUCCUAGCACAUGAAAAUCUAGCCUAACAUAAUUGGAAAUAAAGAAAAACAACAAUUAAAACCAAGGAAGAACAUCAACCAAUUGAUUCUUGAAGUGAAAUCUUGAAGCUUGAAGUGGAUUGCCUUGUUUUUGCCUUGUUCUUUCCCUCCAAAUCCUCCAAAAUUGUGUUUUUGUGCCUCCAAUUACGUUCCCCCCUUCUUCUGGACGUUCUUUCGUAUUUAA